This 393-nucleotide long non-coding RNA is filed under the name Olea europaea subsp. europaea. The record is from RNAcentral. Lineage: Eukaryota; Viridiplantae; Streptophyta; Magnoliopsida; Lamiales; Oleaceae.
AAAAUUUUAAAACUGCAGACAUGAAAUCAAAAUGCCAGCUAAAAGGCCCGAAGCAGGUAAUGAGACACAUUCAAGUAAUACUUGUUGCAAAUAUCCUCAACUAGGAUAGAAUACUUACCAUUGCUUUUAUAUGUCUUGUAAUUCGUAACCCAAAAAAAAAAAGGAUCAGACAAGUCAUACCAGGACCAAGGCGAAGCACUUCAUCUUUUAUGCAUUUACAUAUUAGAGGAAAAUGUCUCUCAAUUACAACGAGAAACUACUUUGAACAUGGUACAUAAUACGGUUCCACCCCCCCCCCCCCCCCAAGUGCCAAAACUUUUGAUAGGCUUCAAAGAAUCAGUUCACCCUAUACAUCAGAUGAUUCAACUGUGACAAAAUUGAAGAGACUUUUCU